RNAcentral lists this ribosomal RNA (345 nucleotides) under uncultured bacterium. RNAcentral describes it as "bacterial SSU rRNA". It matches the Rfam family "Bacterial small subunit ribosomal RNA", at positions 28 to 370 of the family's 1533-position model. The record is from RNAcentral.
GAUGAACGCUAGCGGAAGGCUUAAUACAUGCAAGUCGAGCGGUAGUGGCUUCGCCAUUUGAGAGCGGCGCACGGGUGAGUAACGCGUACAUGACCUUGCCUGUCAGAAGGGAUAGCCCUGGGAAACUGGGAUUAAUACCCUAUGGUAUUGAUAUUAUGAAUGAUAUCAAUUAAAGUUGAGGCCGCGUGAACAGAUGGACUGUGCGUCUGAUUAGCUAGGUUGGUAGGGUAACCGGCCUACCAAGGCGACGAUCAGUAGGGGGCUGAGAGCGUGGGUCCCCCACACGGGUACUGAGACACGGACCCGGACUCCUACGGGAGGCAGCAGUUAAGGAAGUAUUGGUCA